GUACCGGGCCGCUCCUCCAUGACCAACGCCAA
Molecule: non-coding RNA, 32 nt
Filed under: Geobacter sulfurreducens PCA
Lineage: Bacteria; Pseudomonadati; Thermodesulfobacteriota; Desulfuromonadia; Geobacterales; Geobacteraceae
Source: RNAcentral